Molecule: ribosomal RNA, 335 nt
Filed under: uncultured bacterium
Lineage: Bacteria
Description: bacterial SSU rRNA
Rfam family: Bacterial small subunit ribosomal RNA
Source: RNAcentral
AGGGUUUGAUUAUGGCUCAGGAUGAACGCUAGCUACAGGCUUAACACAUGCAAGUCGAGGGGCAGCAUGGUCUUAGCUUGCUAAGGCCGAUGGCGACCGGCGCACGGGUGAGUAACACGUAUCCAACCUGCCGUCUACUCUUGGACAGCCUUCUGAAAGGAAGAUUAAUACAAGAUGGCAUCAUGAGUUCACAUGUUCACAUGAUUAAAGGUUUUCCGGUAGACGAUGGGGAUGCGUUCCAUUAGAUAGUAGGCGGGGUAACGGCCCACCUAGUCUUCGAUGGAUAGGGGUUCUGAGAGGAAGGUCCCCCACAUUGGAACUGAGACACGGUCCAA